AUACAAUUUCUACUAGAACUUAAAUCUUGCUUCACCAAGUAUUGCGAAAAAUAAACCAUGAAGGCAAACUUAGCUCUUGUGUUUGUGAUUGUUAUAAUUUUAGGAAUUACUAUUCCUAGAGAAGUCAUUGCUGAAGAUACAACUGACAAUUUGCAUACCAUUAUAAAAAUCUUGAAAAAUGUAUCACUUAAAUAUCUCGAUCAAACGUGUCUUGAUGCUCGGAAUCUAAUCGAAAAUUUUGAAGGAUUAAAGCUCUUAAACCUGUCCUGAUCUCGUCUAAUCUUUCAUUGUUUGGAAAAAGGCUAUAAAACGUCUAUAAUGGCAUAAAAAUGGAAAUGCUGACAACAAUUAUAUACAAUCAAACGACAAUAUAUAUUAUAUAACAUA
Nylanderia fulva is the source of this 387-nucleotide long non-coding RNA. RefSeq lists it as uncharacterized. NCBI's taxonomy places the organism in Eukaryota, Metazoa, Arthropoda, Insecta, Hymenoptera, Formicidae. The record is from RefSeq and is a predicted model, not a curated record.